GGGGGCGGCUGCGGGCGGCAGGCGGCGGCGCGGCGGCGCGCGCCAUGCCCGGUAGCCGGCGGAAGGGGCCCGGCCCCAGGCCCGCCGGCCCCGGGGGGCGCGGCGGCGGCGGCGGCCCGGAGCAGCAGCAGCAGCUCGCCCUGCGGCGGCCCCCGGAGCCGCCCGUCGAGGAGGAGGCGGCGGCCGGCGGCGCGGAAGGCGGCGCGGGCCGAGGCCUGCCCGGCGGGGAGGCGGCGGUGCGCGGCGCUGCAGAGUCAUCUGUACAUAAAACACCAAAGAGAUCGUUGAGUAGGAAAUCCCGAAUACCUACUUUCAGCUCUCCUAUUAAUGACACUGAUAUACAGCAAGAAAUCUUUUGGGAUCCUCAUUCACCGAUUGCACACAGACUAGGCAAUGGAAAAACCAAACAGUCUGCCCGUAGAUGUGCAGUAGAAAUUUCAGAAAUUGUUAAUCGUAUUGCUCCUCAGGAUGAAAAAGCAACCUGUAAUGAAGGCUCCCUUUUAGGGACAUGGAUUGGUGAGGAUGCUAUUCCCUGUACACCUGGAGCAGUAAAAGUGCGAGCUAGGACAAAAUUAAGUUGUACAAGAGAUCUUAAAAUAAAAAAUCCUGAAGAGGAACUAAUGAAAUUGGCUAAGGAAUUUGAUAAAAAUCUAGUAGAGCUAGAUACUGUUCAGGAACAAGAGAAGCUUGGUCAUGACUUCAUCCAAACUGCCUCAGAGUCUUUAAAUAAUUCUAAAGAUGAAGGAAAUACAAAGAACCUGAAAUCACUCCUUGGUGAAGUUUCUGAAACAGAUACUGCUCUGUCCCUGAAACCAGUUGGACAGAGCACUGGCAUCCCUGCUGCAGAGCCCUGUCAAUCUAGCAGUCAAAAGUCUGUAGACCUUGAGGCUGAAAUAGCCCUUCAUGCUCUCUUUGACUGCUCUACGCAGAAGUGUAGUGGACGGUUGAGCCAAGAACUAUCAAGUAUUUCAUUAAAUUACAGUUUCCACGAAAAUAAAAUCACCUUGGAAGAGGAACGCACUCCUGAGCAAAUUAAAGACCUGCAACAUGGUAAUUCAAAGGCAUAUCAAGAAGAUACUCAGUGUGCACUGGGAAGCACGAACCAGACUCUUCCAAAACUUGAUACUCACACGGUAACAAAAAAAAAUUCCUGUUCUUUGAAGACACAGCUUGUGUCUAGUAAGCUUGCUGGAGUAGUUAAUGAUGAUUUUGAUGACUGGGAUACAGAUUUUUUGGCAGAUGACUCUUUUGUGAUGCAAAUAACCCAGAAUCCGGAAUUGCUAACUACGGAAGAAGCACCACCUAUUCCUACAAAUACAUCUGUGAGUGGUUUCAGUGAUGGUAGCAGAACAAAAGAAAGAAGUAGUUGCAAUUCAGUACCUUGUUUAGAGAGUGUUCAGAACUCUAAGAGUUUGCAGUUUUCACCUUUGAAACAUUCCAGUAAAACCACACAAAAUGUUGCAAAAUCUCUUUCUUUACAAAAGCCAUAUAAGAAGACAGAAAAUUCAAACACAGAGACUGUAGCCUUUCACGGCAAAGCUGCUGUUAAGCCAGAUAAAAUAAAUUAUAUCUGGAAAAGUGCCCAAAACAGUGAUUUGAACCAUAUUCCUGUUUCAAUGCAAUCUAAAGUUAAGAAUGGAAAUGAAACUAUUCAGCCUAAAAGUGAUCCUCUUCAUCUUCUUCCUUCAAGUUCUAAUCCUCAUAGGCAACGGAUUGAAAAACCUGGGAAUAAUGCACACAAUAUUUUCUGUCAAUCAUCCAGUGUUUCUACCAAUACAAAACCUAAUGAUCUAACUACAGUGGUUAACCAAACUAAUACAGGUCACUUAAAUCAAGUUGAAAUACCAAAGAAAUGUCCUCUGUCGUUUGAUGACUGGAAUGAACCAAAAUUCUCUGAUGAGGUAUUAGAUAUGUUUUGUGAAUCGGAUAGUCUUUGGGAUGCAAACUGUGAAGAUGAUGAAUUGUUGUAUCAGGUGUGUGAUGAUAUAGAAAAGCAGACUCAGAGCCAGGAUGUUAAACAAGGAAAUGAAAGAGCUAAAACUAUACCAGGACCCAGUAUUAUUUCCAGAUCAAAUGCUGAUAACAGCUUCCCAUCAUCUAAACAAGGACUACCUGGUGACCUCUUGGCACAAAAAACAAAUGCAAAACAGGACACUCUCUCACUAAACGAUUCCUGUAGGAAUUCAUCAAAGGUUACACGUGGGCUGGCCACAACAGGUCAAGUAGUGAACUGUAAAAACAUCUCAAGUCCUGUAACUUUGAUCUCAGGUACUUCUAUGGAGUGUAAAUACACACUGUCUAAAAACUGUCAUCAAGCUGCUUCUGAAGAUCCUACAAGGACUGUUUUGGGAAAAUGGUACAGGUCAAAUUCUGUGCCGCUAGGAGAGACUGGUUCAGAAAUAAGUCCUGUUAAUACAGUAAACAUUUUUAGUAGCAAAACAUUGGAUAGCCCAGAGCUUUUGUAUAAUAUGGGAAAGAUGCCAAACAACAGUUUUGGUAACAAAACAUCACUUGUGCCUUCAAAGUUUAAGUUUCGAAAGACUAAUGGUUCUCAAAGUGCUCUUCAUGUAGGGUCUGAAAAUCCAGGGAGUCAUUCUGGUAUUGGUAUUACUCUUCAGGGUUUGGAAGACAGCAAGAAUCAGGUGAAUGUGACUUUGCACAAGCAGCUUGACAGUAAGAAACCACCUUUCAAGAGGCACAUUUCAGAGUCUUUUGCACUGCCUGCAUCAGGCUUUGAUAUUCAUCCAUUCAGUUACGAUUGUCUGUGGUGGAACAAAAAAAUAGAAAAUGUUCUCAAGAAGAAAUUGAAAGAAAAAAACAAGAAGCUCUUGCACGAAGGAAAUCCAGGAUGCAGGCAUCCUUUAAAGAUGCUUGAAUUUGGAGUUUGUGUUGUCUAUGGAAUAUCGACGCAUUUCAUGAUGAGUGAUGCUACUCACUAAAAUCCAAGGAUUCUCCUUUUCAGCAGGUACUGGGAAGACAAGUGAAGAUUGUCCAACCUUCUCCAGGUGUCUAACACAACCGUGUAUUGCUUUUUAAUACGUCUGGCAGCUGACAGUAGAGGGGUAACGAAAAGGACCAGCCAGAAGUAAUGUGCCCAGAAGUCUGUAUAAAAAUCCAGAUUUCAUUAACAGAGCCGUGACAUCUAGGAACGGGAUUGAUACAGAUGGCAGCUCAGUUACAGAGUUCAGCUGAUGCUGAGUGUAUGUUAAGCAUGGAAAACAGAUUACUAUGAGCUCCAAUCUAUCUCAAGUGGUACAUUUUGGAAACCCUAUCUGUUUACUCCAGGUGAAACAUGGAAGAUUUUUUUCCAGAAGAAACAUUGUCCAGUUUAACUACAGACAGCAUGAAAAGUCUCCCUUCUAUCUAAUCUAAAGAAAAAAAUUGUGACACUCUUUGUAAAGAAAACAACCUUCUUUUCUGUGUGCCAUCGUUGAUGGUAACAGAUGACAGUACAGAGGUUUUCCAAGAAAUUCCCUCGAAGUUGCAAAAAGUACCUUUCUGUAACACAGUUAAACUAAAUUAUGCAAACAGGAUCUUGCCAAAUACACAGGAAAAAUGUAGCAAUUGUAACAGAAACAGCCAUUCCCUGCUUUGGAAAUGAGGACCUGUAUGCACAGGUUUAAACAAGGCUUUAGAAAUCUAGCUUUAAGCACCCCAUUUUAUUCCUGCUUCUGUAAUUUUGAUCCAACCAAAUAGAUCUGCACUGAAUUUUCUGCUGCCUAGCACACAGCUGGAGGUAGUGGAACAUUUUUGCUAUUCUUUGUAAAUAUCCCAUUAAAAGCAUGCUAAGGAGCUGCUUCAGCCUGGCACUCAUUCAGGUGGGUGGCCAGUGCCACCAACCACCCUGCAGCAAAGCCCGGAAGCAGCAUUUUAAAGUAAAGCAUGUGCCCUGGUGCUGUGUUGAGCAGGGGCUGAAAACUAUGAUGGAUGUACCCCAAAGUCAGGAAGAACAGGAGUCUGCUCCAAUUAUAGCUACUCAAGUGCAGGCAUCAAGCUCUCAGCUAGCUAUCAGGGCUCCCUCCAUAGCAAGAGGACAGAAAUAAAUACUCCCAGGUUGUGAAUCAUCUUCUGCUAUGGUAGGCAUCUAAAACAGAUCAAAUCAGUCAUGACCUCCAGCUGUCUGUUUCCUACCACUGACUAGAUGAAACGUUCAAAUGGGUGGCUUAGAUAUAGGCACCUACUUCACUGCCAUCUCAAAUGACCCAAGAUGCAUCGCAUCUAUAAUAUGGGUGGUGAUACACACCCCAGGAGUGGAGAAGUUCCAAGUCUAAAGAUCUUCCUGGGCUUUUUUCCUUUUUAACUCCUGCAGGAUCCUGCUUAAUCAGUUUCCAGGUAGGAAAAAGAAGAAACAGGACAGUUACUACAGUAAACAGUAUUGGGAGGAUCUGUGCUUCUACCCUGUAGUUAUGUGAAGCCUGGGGAUGCUGCAGUGAGGCCUGUAAAGACAGAGAGAGGUACUUCCAGCAAGAAAAAGCUCAGCUUGUGGGUUGUCACGAAGUACUAUCCCACAGUUCUGCCGUUCAACAGGACAUGGAUUACCUACAAUGUGGUCCAAACCUCUCCAGGAAAUAAGUGAUGAAGAACAUCUUGGGAGGUAGUAUUUGGUAUUAGCCUAGCUAGUUCCCUGAGAAAAUGCCUUAGUAUACUCUUAGGUACUUUGGAUCUCUGUGUCUCCAGGGCAUUCUUGUCCCCAAAUGUCCCUUACAACCCUAGGAUAAUGGGGGAGAGACAGAUGCCUACACCAGCACAUGCCAAGGACUUCACUUAAAACCUAAUUAUUGCCUGCUUGGACUUGCUCUCAAAAGGCAUCAACUUUCUUGUUCUGCAUAUAUGGUAGACAGAGGAGAUUUUUGUGCUUAAAACUAAGUGCCUAAAUCCAUGCCUAUGAAUCUGGGAGAAAUAUACUUCCAGGUCUACUUCUGAAGGAAAAACCUACAAAGAUUUUGUUACACACAGAUUCUGCAAAACUGGGUACUGUGGGGAAGACUAAAAGACUAUUACAAAAAAAGAAAAAAGCCCAAACUUAUUUUAUACCAAGACAAACAGUAUUUAAUAAAUUAAAGCUGUAAUCAAUGGCAAGCAUUCAGAACAAACUGCUUUUUUGGCUACACAGCACCCAUCUCAAUUAGGCAGGGAUUUGGUGCAAAAGCAGUCUACAGCUAGGUAAUAAAAGAUGAAAUCUGAAUGCGUACAUGGAAGGGAGAAGAGUAAAGGCCAGGCCUGCCACACUCACCAUGUCACUUCUUGGUUUCUGAGCUCUUCAUUUUGCAAUGGGGCCAUUCCUGCAGCAUAAUGGGGAAUCUGGCACCAAGAGCUACACAAUACAUUUUUUUAUUAUGACCUAGCAAAACAGAAAUGCUACGUUCCCAGAGCCAAGGAGCACCUCUAAUUUCCACUGAAGUCAGUAGAAGUUUUGAAUCCCCAACAGUAGGCUUUUUUAAAUUUUCCAUUUUAAUUGUUUCAAAAUUUGAGAGCUAACUGAAAACAGCAUAAAACUAUGUAAAACAAAUGGCACUGUAAACUGUGCAAAAAAAUGUAUUAAUAGAUACUGGCUAAGGUACUACUCUUCAGAUAGUGUCUCCAGUUGCCUCAAGAGUUCCAACUGGCAAUUACAAUUGUCUUCAGCUCUACUCCUUGUUUUCCUUUAAAUAACAAUGCAUCCAUAUAUAACAUAACAAAACACAACGCGAUCCAAGGUAACCCUGUAGAAAUAAAAAUGUGCUUUGGAUCAGAUCCUUGUUAUUAUAUAAAUGGUGAACGUUUGAUCUGUAUUUAUUGCACUUGGACUGAAGUGCACAGAAGAGUAAGUGUCCUCAGUUGGGCAGUUAGCAGAUCUUUAAUUAUAAUUUAUAAAUAAAGACUAUGUUCCCAUGAACAAUGCCUCAGUGCAACCUACUAACUAUGGCUCUUGUGCCACUCCACUUAAAUAACUCACUUUCCUUUCCUGCAUGGCUGUUGUCAAAUUCUUAACAGUUACCCUAUCUCAUAUCUCAAAGGCACAUGGUGUGGCACUCAAUUAUGAUUUUGAAAUGAAAGAGAAAAUUGUUUUUGCAGAUACUGGAAAAUAUCAGAGGUAUAUCAACUCUCUUUGGGAUGUCCCAAGAAACAACUCUGCUCUCCUAAAGUGGGUAAAAAAGACAAGAGUGGAGAAAUUUGUAUUACACUACUCAGACUUGUAAAUUAAGGGGAAUUUUCCCCAGUUCAGAAAAUUCAGCCUCAGUUUGCUGUUAGGGUAACAUUUUUUCUUGAAAGGAAAGGAAGCCAUUGCACCUCCUCACGUACUGGCUUCUGUUUACACAGUCUUAUUGUGCAACUCAUCCAUGCUGUUGAUCCUCUUACACUCUGAAUCAUGACAUUUGCUUGGACCAUUACGAUAAAACCUCAUUCAUUUUUGGCAGAUAAAAUCUCUGUUUUCCAUGCAUGAGGGCAGACAACAGAGUAACGAAAACACAGAUUCAAAAGCAAAACACUCACGAGUUCUUCAGGGCAACAUGUGGAAAAGGUGGAGAAGCAUGUCAGAAUUGAAAAAAGAGGCCACCAAAUGGGUGUAAAUAACAUUCUCCUGCAAGGGCAUUUUUCUCUGCCAAGAAGGUGUUAGGGAGGCCUCAGUAUUAAUGAGAAUCAAGCCUGAGGCAGAGAAAACAGAUGUUGGCUCACAGCCCACAGGUAAAUUAAUGGCAGUUAGCACAGUACAACCUAUGAUUUACCCCAACAGUACAACUCAACUGAUUUUAACACAACCAUACACCCCAAGAUUUUGAUCCCAAAGGCAGCAGUCCUUUACAACUGCAUGGACAAAAUGUGGGUGAAGAACAAAUUCCCAAGAGAUGACUGUAUCUGCUGCAAUCUGCUGCCUGGUCAACCUGGAUAACCUACCAUCCACUCAAGUCAAAGGCAUCCUUGCAAUAGGAUCCUGAUUGAUAGUUUUCUUUGGAUAGGAACACCAUCAUGUGUUUUAGCUCCUCAGUAAAGUUUUGAGAUUACUUAUCUAUGCCUUUACUCAACCCUCCAAGAAUGAUCCUGCUGCAUAAAUUCACGCUGAGGAGAAAUUAAUAGCCCUUCAGGUAAACUGGAGGUAGCCUUGAAUUCUGGAAAGAUGGGUCGAUCAUGAUUUUUCAAAAUUACAGACAAUCUAUCCUGGUCAUUUGUAUACAAUCAUAUGCAGGAGUUUCAUAUUUUUACUUUUUUUUUAUUAUGAGAGAGACAGCUUAAACAGGUAACUACCAAGUAUUACUGACAGAGGAGACACAAAAUUUAUUACCUCUCCCACUGAAGGCAUUCAGAGAACUUUCCCUAUGCAAAACACCAGCACGAGACCUCUCCUCACCAUGCCUCUGCUUUAAUUGUGAACCUCAGCAUCUGCACUGAGAGCAACUUUUUUUUUUCCAGGGGUUAAUAACUCAAGUUUAACAGAUUGCUCUACACUGACACACAGUUCCAACUUGGGAGCAAGCAUUUCUUUUAUAAACAUUUUUUUUUAUUUUCUUUUAAAUGGUGAUUUCUUUUUGGUUUUGCUUGUAAUGUAUGUAAAAUGAUUUGGGAUGCUUUUGCACUUGUGUACAGUAACUCAAAAGCAGCUUUCAUUGGAACAGUGGAAUUUGGCAAGUGAACAGUCAAUAUUACCCUCAAAUUGCUUUUAGCAUCUUUGCAAAAAUAAAAACGUCAUUUAAAAUGGCUGAGAUAUUUCAAUUUGAAAAGUGGCUACUGAACAGGCACAAUAAUGGCAUGGAUUUUUACUUUGCGUAUGUAAUGCACAUAUUCAGCAUAAUGAGAUUCCUAAAAUACACAUCUCCAGAUUAGGGCUGUACUAAUCACUGAUUUUUUUUUUUUUUUUUUUCCCACGUCUGUGGUGGAAAUUGAAAAAUAAAAUCUGUUUGGGUUGA
Apus apus (common swift) is the source of this 7883-nucleotide RNA transcript. It is a transcript of the gene named ETAA1 activator of ATR kinase, with no coding region annotated. The record is from RefSeq and is a predicted model, not a curated record. Lineage: Eukaryota; Metazoa; Chordata; Aves; Apodiformes; Apodidae. The transcript has 12 exons.